CUCACCCUUUGAUUCCUCCAGCACGAAUUCUCUUCCUCUCAUCCAAUGAGGAGCUUGGCA
Molecule: non-coding RNA, 60 nt
Filed under: Paramoeba aestuarina
Lineage: Eukaryota; Discosea; Flabellinia; Dactylopodida; Paramoebidae
Source: RNAcentral